Molecule: long non-coding RNA, 256 nt
Organism: Schistocerca nitens (vagrant locust)
Lineage: Eukaryota; Metazoa; Arthropoda; Insecta; Orthoptera; Acrididae
Exons: 3
Source: RefSeq, a predicted model, not a curated record
CUUCAGAAUGUGACCCACGAUGAAUUGGUGAUGCCGCAAGAGGUGUCGACACACUUCGGGAGUUACAGUGUUCCAGCACAAGGAAUUACCACACAAGAGGAUAAUUUCCUCUGCGGUACAGAUAAUAUUGAUCCACUUGCUGAUAAUCAGCUUAUCAUUUGUGACCCACGGAGCAUUAAGAAAGAGGUUUUUGAAGAAUGUGUCCCAGAGUUCAGUGACUGCAAUGAAGAGGAUCAAGAUGUAUAUUUAGGGGUGG